Non-coding RNA from Globicephala melas (long-finned pilot whale), 72 nucleotides. NCBI's taxonomy places the organism in Eukaryota, Metazoa, Chordata, Mammalia, Artiodactyla, Delphinidae. The record is from the annotation of a RefSeq genome assembly.
UCCCUGGCAGUCCAGUGGUUAGGUCUCGGCACUUUGACUGCUGUGGCCCAGGUUCAAUUCCUGGUCAGGGAA